Molecule: ribosomal RNA, 1370 nt
Filed under: uncultured bacterium
Lineage: Bacteria
Description: bacterial SSU rRNA
Rfam family: Bacterial small subunit ribosomal RNA
Source: RNAcentral
AGAGUUUGAUCCUGGCUCAGAACGAACGCUGGCGGCGUGGAUAAGACAUGCAAGUCGAACGAGAGAAUUGCUAGCUUGCUAAUAAUUCUCUAGUGGCGCACGGGUGAGUAACACGUGAGUAACCUGCCCCCGAGAGCGGGAUAGCCCUGGGAAACUGGGAUUAAUACCGCAUAGUAUCGAAAGAUUAAAGCAGCAAUGCGCUUGGGGAUGGGCUCGCGGCCUAUUAGUUAGUUGGUGAGGUAACGGCUCACCAAGGCGAUGACGGGUAGCCGGUCUGAGAGGAUGUCCGGCCACACUGGAACUGAGACACGGUCCAGACACCUACGGGUGGCAGCAGUCGAGAAUCAUUCACAAUGGGGGAAACCCUGAUGGUGCGACGCCGCGUGGGGGAAUGAAGGUCUUCGGAUUGUAAACCCCUGUCAUGUGGGAGCAAAUUAAAAAGAUAGUACCACAAGAGGAAGAGACGGCUAACUCUGUGCCAGCAGCCGCGGUAAUACAGAGGUCUCAAGCGUUGUUCGGAAUCACUGGGCGUAAAGCGUGCGUAGGCUGUUUCGUAAGUCGUGUGUGAAAGGCGCGGGCUCAACCCGCGGACGGCACAUGAUACUGCGAGACUAGAGUAAUGGAGGGGGAACCGGAAUUCUCGGUGUAGCAGUGAAAUGCGUAGAUAUCGAGAGGAACACUCGUGGCGAAGGCGGGUUCCUGGACAUUAACUGACGCUGAGGCACGAAGGCCAGGGGAGCGAAAGGGAUUAGAUACCCCUGUAGUCCUGGCAGUAAACGGUGCACGCUUGGUGUGCGGGGAAUCGACCCCCUGCGUGCCGGAGCUAACGCGUUAAGCGUGCCGCCUGGGGAGUACGGUCGCAAGAUUAAAACUCAAAGAAAUUGACGGGGACCCGCACAAGCGGUGGAGUAUGUGGCUUAAUUCGAUGCAACGCGAAGAACCUUACCUGGGCUUGACAUGUAAUGAACAACAUGUGAAAGCAUGCGACUCUUCGGAGGCGUUACACAGGUGCUGCAUGGCCGUCGUCAGCUCGUGUCGUGAGAUGUUUGGUUAAGUCCAGCAACGAGCGCAACCCCUGUUGCCAGUUACCAGCACGUGAAGGUGGGGACUCUGGCGAGACUGCCCAGAUCAACUGGGAGGAAGGUGGGGACGACGUCAGGUCAGUAUGGCCCUUAUGCCCAGGGCUGCACACGUACUACAAUGCCCAGUACAGAGGGGGCCGAAGCCGCGAGGCGGAGGAAAUCCUAAAAACUGGGCCCAGUUCGGACUGUAGGCUGCAACCCGCCUACACGAAGCCGGAAUCGCUAGUAAUGGCGCAUCAGCUACGGCGCCGUGAAUACGUUCCCGGGUCUUGUACUCACCGCCCGUCA